UGUUUUAAUAGUUUAAAUGAAAAAUAUUAAUUUUGUAAAUUAAAGUUGGAAAAUUCUUUAAAACAUC
Molecule: transfer RNA, 67 nt
Filed under: Macropsis hainanensis
Lineage: Eukaryota; Metazoa; Arthropoda; Insecta; Hemiptera; Cicadellidae
Description: tRNA-Thr
Source: RNAcentral